UAAUGUCUGGGAAACUGCCUGAUGGAGGGGGGAUAACUACUGGGAAACGGUAGCUAAUACCGCAUAACGUCGCAAGACCAAAGAGGGGGACCUUCGGGCCUCUUGCCAUCAGAUGUGCCCAGAUGGGAUUAGCUAGUAGGUGGGGUAACGGCUCACCUAGGCGACGAUCCCUAGCUGGUCUGAGAGGAUGACCAGCCACACUGGAACUGAGACACGGUCCAGACUCCUACGGGAGGCAGCAGUGGGGAAUAUUGCACAAUGGGCGCAAGCCUGAUGCAGCC
This 281-nucleotide ribosomal RNA is filed under the name uncultured Enterobacteriaceae bacterium. Its description in RNAcentral is "partial 16S ribosomal RNA". It matches the Rfam family "Bacterial small subunit ribosomal RNA", at positions 111 to 392 of the family's 1533-position model. The record is from RNAcentral. Lineage: Bacteria; Pseudomonadati; Pseudomonadota; Gammaproteobacteria; Enterobacterales; Enterobacteriaceae.